GCCACCAAUUGAAUGAAAGUUGCAUUACCCUGAGAAGACAAGAAGUGACUCAUGUUGGCAGCAGAAGACAUUGCUAAUUCUGGAAACUCUAAGUUGUCCUAGGUGCAGGUGCCCAGGCCCAGGCCAUAGGGGCUGUGGAGGGGUGUCUGUGGCUGUGGAGAGGCUGUGGCUGUACUGUGAUGGACAUGAACAGCUCCAGGUGCCUCCAACUGAUUCACACAUGGCACAGCUGAGCCUCUCAGCCAUGCUGGCAGUGCCUCUAGGAAAAUGUAUUUUAAAAAGGGGAAAACAUUUUGUGGCAACGAGGAGUGAGGAAAAAGUGUGAUGAGCAGCCCUGUGAUGUCAUGGUCAAACAAGGAGGAGGGAAAGAAGUGCUUCAGGUGCUGGAGCAGAGACUUUGCAGCCUGUGGAGGACCACUGUGGAGCAGAUGGAUAUUUCCUGAAAGACUGCAUCUUCUGGAGAGCCCACCUGGGAGCAGAUAUUUCUGAAGGAGUGCAGCCUCUUGGAAGGACCCACAUAGAAACCGGGGAAAAGUGUGAGAAGUUAGGAUUGGCAAAAAGGAGCUGUUCUGUGUUGACCAUGACCACAGCCCACAGUUCUCCAUCUCUCUGUGCAGCUUGAAGAACUGUGAAGAAAGAUCUGCUUUCCUGGUGCAGGAAAUAAGAAGAAAGCAGGAACAAGAGACCAGGUCCAUUAAUUCUGAAUACUGAGUCAAGGUAUUUUAAGAACUACUUUUGGACUAAUUCAUGAGACACCUUUUGUAAUAAAGAAAAAAAGAAUGGGAAAGCGAGGAGAUGCAUGACUGCCCUGUGAAAAAUACAUUUGGGAAGGGAGGAAGAGAAAUCCUGAGCCUGCUGGAGACUUGAACAUAUAUAAUAUGAAUAUAUAAUUUCAUAUGAUUUAUGCCAACUAAGCGACAAUUAGUAAGAUAUUCUCUUUAUAUAGCAAAAAGCUUGAUAAACUGGCCAAAACCCAUCUCUCUGAAACACCAUUGACUUUUAAAAUAUGCUACAGGACUACCACAGAAAUAUGUAACUUAUGUAACAAUAUGCAGUCCUCACAAAGACUGAUUUUAACAACAGUUUUACAAAUCUAUUAUUCUGCUGGUAUAAGUAUUAUAAUUGCAAGUAUAAAUAAUGCAGGUAUUGGCCUUGAAACUUUUAUUUCAAAGCCUUAUUGUUCUUUUGG
Molecule: long non-coding RNA, 1189 nt
Organism: Passer domesticus (house sparrow)
Lineage: Eukaryota; Metazoa; Chordata; Aves; Passeriformes; Passeridae
Exons: 3
Source: RefSeq, a predicted model, not a curated record